Molecule: ribosomal RNA, 1369 nt
Filed under: uncultured bacterium
Lineage: Bacteria
Description: bacterial SSU rRNA
Rfam family: Bacterial small subunit ribosomal RNA
Source: RNAcentral
GACGAACGCUGGCGGCGUGCCUAAUACAUGCAAGUAGAACGCUGAAGAGAGGAGCUUGCUCUUCUUGGAUGAGUUGCGAACGGGUGAGUAACGCGUAGGUAACCUGCCUUGUAGCGGGGGAUAACUAUUGGAAACGAUAGCUAAUACCGCAUAACAAUGGAUGACACAUGUCAUUUAUUUGAAAGGGGCAAUUGUUCCACUACAAGAUGGACCUGCGUUGUAUUAGCUAGUAGGUGAGGUAAUGGCUCACCUAGGCGACGAUACAUAGCCGACCUGAGAGGGUGAUCGGCCACACUGGGACUGAGACACGGCCCAGACUCCUACGGGAGGCAGCAGUAGGGAAUCUUCGGCAAUGGGGGCAACCCUGACCGAGCAACGCCGCGUGAGUGAAGAAGGUUUUCGGAUCGCAAAGCUCUGUUGUAAGUCAAGAACGGGUGUGAGAGUGGAAAGUUCACACUGUGACGGUAGCUUACCAGAAAGGGACGGCUAACUACGUGCCAGCAGCCGCGGUAAUACGUAGGUCCCGAGCGUUGUCCGGAUUUAUUGGGCGUAAAGCGAGCGCAGGCGGUUUGAUAAGUCUGAAGUUAAAGGCUGUGGCUCAACCAUAGUUCGCUUUGGAAACUGUCAAACUUGAGUGCAGAAGGGGAGAGUGGAAUUCCAUGUGUAGCGGUGAAAUGCGUAGAUAUAUGGAGGAACACCGGUGGCGAAAGCGGCUCUCUGGUCUGUAACUGACGCUGAGGCUCGAAAGCGUGGGGAGCGAACAGGAUUAGAUACCCUGGUAGUCCACGCCGUAAACGAUGAGUGCUAGGUGUUGGAUCCUUUCCGGGAUUCAGUGCCGCAGCUAACGCAUUAAGCACUCCGCCUGGGGAGUACGACCGCAAGGUUGAAACUCAAAGGAAUUGACGGGGGCCCGCACAAGCGGUGGAGCAUGUGGUUUAAUUCGAAGCAACGCGAAGAACCUUACCAGGUCUUGACAUCCCGAUGCUAUUUCUAGAGAUAGAAAGUUACUUCGGUACAUCGGUGACAGGUGGUGCAUGGUUGUCGUCAGCUCGUGUCGUGAGAUGUUGGGUUAAGUCCCGCAACGAGCGCAACCCCUAUUGUUAGUUGCCAUCAUUCAGUUGGGCACUCUAGCGAGACUGCCGGUAAUAAACCGGAGGAAGGUGGGGAUGACGUCAAAUCAUCAUGCCCCUUAUGACCUGGGCUACACACGUGCUACAAUGGUUGGUACAACGAGUUGCGAGUCGGUGACGGCGAGCUAAUCUCUUAAAGCCAAUCUCAGUUCGGAUUGUAGGCUGCAACUCGCCUACAUGAAGUCGGAAUCGCUAGUAAUCGCGGAUCAGCACGCCGCGGUGAAUACGUUCCCGGGCCU